GGGGAUAUAGCUCAGCGGGAGAGCACUGCGUUCGCAACGCAGGGGUCGGGGGUUCAAGUCCCCUCUUCUCCACCA
Molecule: transfer RNA, 75 nt
Filed under: Dehalococcoidia bacterium
Lineage: Bacteria; Bacillati; Chloroflexota; Dehalococcoidia
Description: tRNA-Ala
Rfam family: tRNA
About the family: Transfer RNA (tRNA) molecules are approximately 80 nucleotides in length. Their secondary structure includes four short double-helical elements and three loops (D, anti-codon, and T loops).
Source: RNAcentral